UCAAGACCAAUCAGCAUAAAGGAGGGAAAAGGCUUAGAGUAUAAAUGUACACUGGGAAACACUUUGUCUCAGGCACUCCUCAACCUCUCUCAGACAUCCAAGAAUAAUACAGAAGAACCUUCGCUCUCAUCACCAUGAAGGGAACCUGGGCUGUUAUCCUUUGUUCAGUGCUCCUGCUUGCAGCUGAAAUUCAAGGGCAGCUGACCUCUGGACAUGGACGUUGCAGCUGUACAGAGAAAGGUUCUGAUUUCAUUCAGCGAAAAGCCUUAGGAAAAAUAGAAGUGUUUCCCAAGAGCUUUUCCUGUGAUCACGUUGAGAUUAUUGCUACAAUGAAACCCACUGGAGAGCAAAAAUGCUUAAACCCUAAUUCUAAAUCGGUACAGAAGAUGAUGAGAGCCC
Molecule: long non-coding RNA, 399 nt
Organism: Dermochelys coriacea (leatherback sea turtle)
Lineage: Eukaryota; Metazoa; Chordata; Testudines; Dermochelyidae
Exons: 3
Source: RefSeq, a predicted model, not a curated record